Molecule: non-coding RNA, 121 nt
Organism: Postia placenta MAD-698-R-SB12
Lineage: Eukaryota; Fungi; Basidiomycota; Agaricomycetes; Polyporales; Adustoporiaceae
Source: the annotation of a RefSeq genome assembly
GCACUAAUGGGGUAGUGGUAACCUUGGUCGUUGCCACCGUUCUUCAAAAUCUCAGAUUGAAAUUGUUUGUCCGGGAGGUCGCUGUUUCGACCAGCCGCGAGUUCGAUUCUUGCUUAGUGCA